CUGAAAUUUUGUGGAAGUUUCCACAAAAUAAAUAUAAAGUUACAAUAAACUCUUUGUAAAGUAGGUCUAUCUGUUAAUAAACUGAGAACAAGUCCUAAGACAGCAAACUGAGGAUGCUCCCUAAAGGCAAUCCUGGAAAAGAAGUUGCUCAAAAGUUUUCAGCAUAUUUUCCUUCAUUCCAAGAUAUUUUUGAUGAAGAAUCAUUUUAUAUUUUUGCAUUUUGCCUCACAGUUGGAUCAUUCAUUGCAGCUUUCUUAGCAUCACGCUACGUCAAAAUCAAGGAUGCUGGACAUUUAGAUUAAACAGUGGGAUCCUUUUUUUGCAACAAUAAGAACCUUUGUUAGUGGAAUUAUUCUUACUAUCACUGUUAUGUUGUAAUACUAUUUAUUAUCUGAUGUUCAGUUUGAAAUUUUCUUGGGUAGUUUCUUUUAUGAACAUUUUAACCAGCGACAAAAGUGAUAAUUAUUAAAAACUAGAAAUGUACCAUCCAUAAUGAAAUACCAAUGUUGUACAACGUAUAGUAAACCACCAAUAUAAAUAUACUUGAAUUACAUGUAUUUUUCAACCCAUGUACUUACUAAAUUUAUACUUUGUAUUCAGUCAUUUUUUCAUUAAACCUAACAAGAAUUUAAGCUGCUUUGUAAUACAGUAAUGUCAUACUGCUUGAUGGUAUUGGAAACAUUUUUGGUUUUGUUACCGCUGGUAUUUAUUUCUUGUCAAAAUUUAGUAUAGAACUACACAAUAAUGAAGUGGGUGUUGCAGCUGACUAUCAAAUUUUUAUCACUUCAACUAUUACAAAAUAACUUGCUCUCUAGUCCAAUGGUUUAGCAUUUACUUUAUUAAAUAGAGUACUGAAAAAUAUGGAUUUUUCUAACCACAAUUCUUUCAGAUUUUGUAACUGGUGUCCUUGUAGCAUGUUACAAAAAUGGACUAUGCUUUCUGUAUAUGUAAUUUUUAAAAUCGCAUUUGUCUAAUUUGCUCUGAUAUACAUUUUGUUUUACAAAAUACAGAUGUGCAAUAAUGUUUAAAGGUUUACUGACUGGUGCAGUUCAUUUUUUAAAUGGCCUUUUUUUCAUUAAUUCUAUCAUUCAUUAACUACCUUUAAUUAUUAUUUUUAUUUUGUGUACUAAUUGGUCCUGAAAAAUAAAGUUUAUCUUUCCAA
Long non-coding RNA from Physella acuta, 1162 nucleotides. RefSeq lists it as uncharacterized. NCBI's taxonomy places the organism in Eukaryota, Metazoa, Mollusca, Gastropoda, Physidae. The record is from RefSeq and is a predicted model, not a curated record.